RNAcentral lists this transfer RNA (73 nucleotides) under Aspergillus ustus. It matches the Rfam family "tRNA". Rfam says of the family: Transfer RNA (tRNA) molecules are approximately 80 nucleotides in length. Their secondary structure includes four short double-helical elements and three loops (D, anti-codon, and T loops). The record is from Rfam by way of RNAcentral. RNAcentral also lists the same sequence under 3 other names. Lineage: Eukaryota; Fungi; Ascomycota; Eurotiomycetes; Eurotiales; Aspergillaceae.
GCUCCUAUAGCUCAGUUGGUAGAGCGCGUGACUAGUAAUCACGAGGUCUGCGGUUCAAAUCCGCAUGGGAGCA